ACGUAUUUUAUUUUCCUGACAGCAUACAUUCUGAAUUGGGUGCUGAACUCACUAAUAUCUUUCUCUCUCUCACUCGUUCUCUAGGGAUUGGGGGAAAUCUAAUAUUCGUGCUUGGCUAGAGGCUGUCAUUUUAGAAACAAAGAUACAUUUAUUUUCCAACAGGAAGAUAGAGGUAGCAGCUACACAAAUAGAAAAUAAGAUCCAACAAAAGGAAGGAGGAGAAAAACUACUCAUCACAGAGUGUCCAGCACGCUCAGGGAAGUGAAGAAAAAGAGAUAGAGAAAGAGAGAAAGAAAAAAAAACAGAGGAAGACGAGAAGACAUAAGGAAAAACACCUCUUGGAUGCCACUUAUACUCCUGGAUUCCUGGAAGACAAGCAGUCAAAUAAAUAUUACAAAGCAUUAAGCAUACAAGGUGGAGGAGAACAAGGAAGAGAUCACUUCUGAGAUUUUAGUGAUGGCAGUGUGGAAAAUAAAUAACUCAUAAACAAGAUUAAGUCAUACGUUUUUGUGAAAAUAAACCAAACAAUACAUAAGAGAGUGACUGGUUAAGAAACUUUAUAUAAGCAAAAGAUGGGCUAUCUCACCAAGGAGGUGAUGUUGGAGGCAACCUUGUAAAUAACUGGGAACAACUAUGCCCCUGGAACACCAUGGAGAAGAACAUUCCAGGCCCAGCCCUGGAGGGAGCACAUGCUCAUUCAAAUAAGUCCUCUGUGUAGUUUGGACAGAGAAAAAUAAACAGGUUUAGACUCUAUUUCUGAGACAGGGC
This 768-nucleotide long non-coding RNA is filed under the name Macaca mulatta (Rhesus monkey). RNAcentral's name for it is "lncRNA (ENSMMUG00000051406.1)". The record is from RNAcentral. Lineage: Eukaryota; Metazoa; Chordata; Mammalia; Primates; Cercopithecidae.